RNAcentral lists this ribosomal RNA (497 nucleotides) under uncultured bacterium. Its description in RNAcentral is "partial 16S ribosomal RNA". It matches the Rfam family "Bacterial small subunit ribosomal RNA", at positions 28 to 507 of the family's 1533-position model. The record is from RNAcentral.
GAUGAACGCUGGCGGCGUGCCUAAUACAUGCCAGUCGAGCGAACAGACGAGGAUCUUGCUCCUUUGACGUUAGCGGCGGACGGGUGAGUAACACGUAGGUAACCUACCUAUAAGACUGGGAUAACUUCGGGAAACCGGAGCUAAUACCGGAUAAUAUUUCGAACCGCAUGGUUCGAUAGUGAAAGAUGGCUUUGCUAUCACUUAUAGAUGGACCUGCGCCGUAUUAGCUAGUUGGUAAGGUAACGGCUUACCAAGGCAACGAUACGUAGCCGACCUGAGAGGGUGAUCGACCACACUGGAACUGGAACACGGUCCAGACUCCUACGGGAGGCAGCAGUAGGGAAUCUUCCGCAAUGGGCGAAAGCCUGACGGAGCAACGCCGCGUGAGUGAUGAAGGUCUUCGGAUCGUAAAACUCUGUUAUUAGGGAAGAACAAACGUGUAAGUAACUGUGCACGUCUUGACGGUACCUAAUCAGAAAGCCACGGCUAACUACGUG